AAACUAGACUAGGGAUAACUCAUAAGAUGCCUAUGGGUAACCCGUCCAGAAAAGAGACAAAGAAAGACCUCUCAAAAGCCGGUUCUUAGGCAGACGUCCCCAGGUAAGAGCAGCCUUUCUCUUAUAUAGGAAAGGACAACUGCCACUUUCUUAUGUGAAUACCGGGUUCUUUCACUCCUCAAUCUCACUCUUUAGUGAAAGUCUCUAUUUCACUUUCAAAAAGCAGUCUACACAAAAUUCCCUCUUCGAUGCUAAAAAUAGGUGUUGUCUCUUUCUAGUAAAUAGAAUCAUUCCUAUCAUAUCAUGACUGUAAAGCAAUGGAAUAAGCAAUCUCAUAUGUCAUUCUUGCAUCAUGAUGCCGAGAACCGUCUGCUCUCUCUUU
This 382-nucleotide long non-coding RNA is filed under the name Coffea arabica (coffee). RNAcentral describes it as "long non-coding RNA (CARA_LNC008405)". The record is from RNAcentral. Lineage: Eukaryota; Viridiplantae; Streptophyta; Magnoliopsida; Gentianales; Rubiaceae.